Molecule: ribosomal RNA, 259 nt
Filed under: uncultured bacterium
Lineage: Bacteria
Description: partial 16S ribosomal RNA
Rfam family: Bacterial small subunit ribosomal RNA
Source: RNAcentral
GUCCACGCCCUAAACGAUGUCGACUGGGUGUCGGGAGAGAGAUCUCUUGGUACCGAAGCUAACGCGUGAAGUCGACCGCCUGGGGAGUACGGCCGCAAGGUUAAAACUCAAAGGAAUUGACGGGGACCCGCACAAGCGGUGGAUGAUGUGGAUUAAUUCGAUGCAACGCGAACAACCUUACCUACCCUUGACAUGUCCGGAAGCCUGCCGAGAGGCGGGGUGCCGAACGGAACGGACACAGGUGCUGCAUGGCUGUCGU